UGCGUGCUAGGGUGCCAAAUUUAAAUCUCAACCAAUCACAUUGCGCCAACGUAAUUUUUUGAAUCUCCUGACGUUGGAGCCUUAAUUCUUUUUAUUUUCUUUUUGUUUUCUUUUUCUUUUAUUUCAUGUCUUUUUGAAUUAAUUUCUCACUCAUUUUUAAUUCAAUUUGAUCCAAUUUUUUACAGAAAGUCUCUAAAAAUAUUUUGAAACACAUACAUUUUUCUCCCAUUUUUUAAAAUCAUUUUUGCAUUUUUGAUUAUUUUUAUUUCAUUUUAUUUUUAAUUUUCUUUCGCAAUUUAUUUUUUGAUCAUUCUCAAACCUUUUGGAAUCCAACUUUUGAAAUUCGUUCAUGAGUAAUAAUUAGGACUUUCUG
Molecule: long non-coding RNA, 373 nt
Filed under: Lathyrus oleraceus (garden pea)
Lineage: Eukaryota; Viridiplantae; Streptophyta; Magnoliopsida; Fabales; Fabaceae
Description: Pisum sativum (pea) long non-coding RNA (PSAT_LNC005344)
Source: RNAcentral